Canis lupus familiaris (dog) is the source of this 3063-nucleotide long non-coding RNA. RefSeq lists it as uncharacterized. Lineage: Eukaryota; Metazoa; Chordata; Mammalia; Carnivora; Canidae. The record is from RefSeq and is a predicted model, not a curated record. The transcript is spliced from 2 exons.
UUGGGGGAGGGGAGUCUCUAUAUGAGGUCUGGGGCCAUCACUCUUCCCCUGACAGGUCCCAGCCCACGGCAGAACCCAGGGCCUGGGUGUGUUACUUGGAUAACAGUGCUGAGCUGCUCAUCGGCCAGUUUUCGGGCAGAGGAGCGGGACACCUCAUCUGGGAUGUCUACGGCCCUCAUGGCUGCCAUGUAGGAUGGGAAGUCCGAGCUGGAUGUGGUCUCCACUGGGCUGAUGUCCACGGCAAUCAGGCGUUCCACCAACUCUGGCUGGGUGGGAGAACCAGACUUAGGACUGGCCUUAGGGCAGGCACACUGGGUCUCAUGCAUAGUUCCCAGAUCUUGAAUUUGGCCAUCAGAGGCUCAACCGAGUCCCAGGUUGCCUGUUGGGCACUCAGGGUAUACGCUGGGUGGGAGGAAAACCCGUAUAGGGACAGCUUACCCUCUGGAGUGCCAGCAGCAUGGCUGUCUUGCCUCCCAUGCUGUGGCCAAUGAGGACGCAGGGCACUAGGCCCAGCUGGGGCAGGAGGUCCUGCAGGUCCUGGCUCAUGGCCUCGUAGCUCAUUUCUGGGCUGUGGGGGCUGUCACCAUGGUUCCGAGCAUCCACUGUAAGCACCUGCAGAGUGCAGUGAGGGUGGGCAGAGCUGGCACCCACAUUCAGGGCACAGACAGCCUAAGGCAUGACAUUUGCGCAGGCUGAGGGGAGUAGAGAGCCUGGAGAAAGAUCCUGAAGCGGAAGAAGAGACCCAAUGGUGAGGGGGCCCAGUUCUCAGACCUAGGAGACCAAAUAAAGAACAUGGAGUCACUCAGCUAGAGAAGGCCCAAGGAGUGUGGCCCUGUCUCUAAAGGUUUGGCCUGGUUGAGUGAACACCCAGAGUAAGCAGGUGCCAAGAAUUUCCAACAGUUGGAGCACAGAAGGAUGGACUACUGUAAAAGGUGGUAAGCCCCCUGUCAUCCCGGGUGAACGAACAGGGGCUGGCCCCCUUAACCGAAAAGCUAUUGGCGUUUAGGCAUUGGACGGCUGAGCCUUAUGAUGAGGACAUCUAAGCUCAGCGUGGAGCACACACGUGGAGGUCUAUAACACGAAUGAAGGACAGGAUAGAUGCAAGCCUGAGAGAAUGAAUGAAGUCCACCCAGAGUCAGUCAGUACCGGUGCGCCGGUACUCCUGGGCAGGUGGCCUGCAGGAAGGGCAGAGAAGCGGGCCCCGCCUCGGCCUCCCCCUCUUCCCGCCCAGCCAGGCCCCACCUCCUGCGGGACCCCGCCUCUCCCGGAAGCUCACUCUCCGGCCGGUCUGCUGGGCCAGGGCCUUGGCGAUGGAGUUGAAGUUGGUUUUGGAGCCGAAGAGCCCGUGCAGAAACACGAGGGCCGGGCGAGCCGCCUCUCCGUCCAGAAGCUUGUAGGAAAGCAGCACCGACCUGGCGAGAGGAGCAAGGAUGGAGGAGGGGGUCCGAGCGGGCUGGGGACCGGGCUUAGGGGCGCGACCUGGGCGGGGGCGGGCGCAAGCGGAGGAGGCGGGGCCAUCCCGGCCGGACUGAACGGGGAGGAGCGAUGGACGGUCUCCCACAUGGCGCCCUUGACUGACCUCGGCUCGGCGCCGCUUCGGCCGCUGCUGCUGUGUGCGACGGGCACCCCGGAGAAGCUGAGGUUGCAUGGGCCGAGCGCCCUGACGGGGAGCCUCCAAGCGCGGGCCCAGCGGAGCAUGUCGGGCGCUAGCUACCUGCGCUAGCUACCGGCGCGCGCCUAGUCCAGCCCCCUCGCCCCGCCUCCCGCCUUCUCUCGGAGCCCCGCCCGGUUCCGGCUGCAGCUCCUCCCUCUGCCCCGCCCACUACCGCGAAUUCCCCGCUCCCGCUUUCGUUUCCUUACGUAAUCCCAGAGUACAGUCUGUUCUCCGAGCUCCGCCCCUUGCGUCAUUGCGUAAUCCGGCAGGCGGGAAAGCCGCCUCUGGCCACGCCCUGGGCGGGGCCACCGAGAGUCCUGGCCACGCCCCUCGCGAAGCUGUGCCCGGCCCCUUCCGGCGCCGGAUCCUCUCGGCGAGUCCGGGUCCCGGGGCGUGGGAGACCGGCCCUCGCCGCUCGUAACGCCCUGGGUUUGGGGCGCGAGCUCUGGGCGGCCGCGGGGCACGUCCUUGGCAAGCCGAGGAGGUCCUGCCUUGGCCAGCGCCUCUGCUCUCAUGCACCGCCUUGGGUGGGUGCCACACUUUCAGUGCCGAGGGCCGAGGGCCGGCGCGGAGAGGCGCCAGCAGUGGCUCCCGUCGUCGGGGCGCCAGCCUGGAGGCGCCGUGCUCCACAGCCGGGGGCCCAGGCAGGCCAGGGGUGCACCUCUUACCCGUCUUGAAGUCUUCGACUCUAGAAAGAGAAGGAGGGACUCUAGAGAGCUCAUCUCCAACCUCCAUCCCUGCCCGCCCUUUCCAGAUGGGGAAACUGAGGCCAGUGGCUUGUACAGGAGGCAGAACCAGCAUCGCUGUCUGAUCGCCCCCCCGCCCCCCGUCUGCCAUUCUUGAUGAGAUUGGCGGGAGACCAGGUGUUUGUACUGGAAGGUAUUUGCUGCUUUGAGCUGAAAUGAGUCAGGACUCCUGCUGGGAUGCUGUGGCUGCCUUCCAGAUAGCCAGUGGCCCAACUCCUAUACAACUGUAAAGGUCCAGGAUAACUGCCACCACCUCAAAAGCCUUCCUAGAUUUCCCCAGUUGAAACCAAUCUCUCCUACCCUAUGUUCUCAAAACAUUUGUGAGAAUCUACUGUCCAGUAUCAUAGAAAUCGCCUUCUCCAGGUCCACCGUACUCUGGGAGCUCCUGGAGGACGGGAGCCAUGUUUUGUUUAUCUGGUGCAAAGUGCAAUAGUAAUCAUUUUACUGAAUGAUCAUGAGGAGAUUCAGGGCACUCUCUGAGGCAUAGGUGAAGGUUCAUCUGAUGCCUGGGUCAGUGCCCCUUCCAGGAGAUGACAUCCAGACCAGCCAUGCCUCUCCCUCUUUAGUUAGGGCAGGCUUGAUGAAGUCAAUCAGUAGGAUGCGUCUGAGCUCCAAGGUGUGUAAUAAAUACCUUGCCCAAUAAAGCGCCCCCAUCUUGCGUCA